This is a non-coding RNA of Polychaeton citri CBS 116435, 138 nucleotides long. NCBI's taxonomy places the organism in Eukaryota, Fungi, Ascomycota, Dothideomycetes, Capnodiales, Capnodiaceae. The record is from the annotation of a GenBank genome assembly.
GCCCCUUUAGCUCAGAUGGUAGAGGUACGACUCACUCACAUCUCUGGUUGUCUAAUCAUUAACUGACAUUCAAACAGCGCGUCACUAGUAUCUCAUACUGUUAUGACGAGGUCGCCAGUUCGACUCUGUCAGGGGGCA